GCCCCUCCCAUGGAGCACCAGUCGCCUAGCCGAGCUCUCGGCGCCGGACCCCCUCCCCACACCAGCCAUCUUCCACAGCCGCCCCCAGCCAUCUCCCUGGUGGCCAACCUCACCACUCUCGCCCUGGCUGCACUCGUCGGCGUCACUUGCCACGGCACCCUCCAUGGCCGAGCUCCUCCCCUAUGGCUCGUCUUCCCCACGACGCCCUCCCUCCAUUCCUUUUCCUCCAUGGCCGACACCCCCAUCUCCACUAGCCAGCGCCCCCUCCCUCAUCCUCUUCCUCAAGCUGAGCUCGCCCUAGCUCCAACUUCAACCAUGGACGACGACCUCCCCUUCCUGCUGCACGCCGGCAUCCUCCCCAUGCCAGCUGCACGCGCGCCGUGACCACUCCUCUCCCUACAGUGCCGCUCGCCCUGGCUCUAACCUCUCCCAUGGACGCCACAACCCAUACUCCCAAGGACAUGGAGCAACAAUAACCAAGAAACCCCUUCGUGUCGCGCCCACGACGUGUUCGACGGAAUAUCGCAGCGGACUACACCCGAUCUGUGCAGCCCUGUCGCGACCUUGUCGAAUCCUGUUGAGGACCCGAUUCUCCUUGUGUUCAUUCCUCGCCAGUAUUAAUACCCAAAAUCAAGUUAUUAGAUGCUAAUGUUAUCUAUAUAUGUGUGCAUAAUGUGCGAGAUGUGAGGAAUUCCAUAUUUGUGUGGCGAGGCAAGCCGUACGACAAGUGCCAGAUGUUUGAUGAAAUGAUUGAAUCGGAGAGUGUCACCGUUUGUGUGGAUUAUCAAGUCAGGCAAAUAACGGUCACUUGGUCGUGGAAGGGCUUCUUAUUGCAGUCAUAGUGUUCCAGCUCUCCAGGAAGAGCUACAAACCACCAAAGAAGCCACUCACUGAAAAGGAGAUUGAUGAGCUAUGUGAUGAGUGGGAGCCAGAGCCGCUAUGCCCUCCAAUCAAGGAGGGGGCCAAAAUAGAUGCUCCAACAUUGGAAAGUGCCGCUGGACCACUUACGAUUGUUGAUGGUAAAGAAGUUGUGAACUUUGCAUCAACAAACUACCUCGGUUUAAUUGGCAACGAAAAGAUUAUUGAUUCUUGCAUCAGUUCAUUGGAGAAAUAUGGUGUUGGUUCUUGUGGUCCACGUGGUUUUUAUGGAACAAUUGAUGUCCAUCUUGACUAUGAGUCAAAGAUAGCUAAAUUUUUGGGGACUCCAGACUCCAUUCUUUAUUCAUAUGGGAUUUCUACAAUAUUCAGUGUGAUACCUGCCUUCUGUAAGAAAGGAGAUAUCAUAGUCGCUGAUGAGGGUGUUCACUGGGCAGUGCAAAAUGGUCUCCAUCUAUCAAGAAGCACUGUGGUGUACUUCAAGCACAAUGAUAUGGCUUCACUUGCAAGCACUUUGGAAAAACUUACUCGUGGAAAUAAACGUGCUGAAAAGAUUAGAUGCUACAUUGUUGUAGAAUCCAUUUACUAGGUGCAGUGCUUUUGAUUGUUU
This is an RNA transcript of Zea mays, 1486 nucleotides long. It is a transcript of the gene named long chain base biosynthesis protein 1a, with no coding region annotated. NCBI's taxonomy places the organism in Eukaryota, Viridiplantae, Streptophyta, Magnoliopsida, Poales, Poaceae. The transcript is spliced from 7 exons. The record is from RefSeq and is a predicted model, not a curated record.